CCAGACUCCUACGGGAGGCAGCAGUGGGGGAGAGUGAACAAUGGGGGGAACUCUGAUGAAGAGAGGCCGCGUGAGGGAAGACGGUCUUAGGAUUGUAAACAUCUGUCUUUGGGGAAGAAAAUGACGGUAACAAAAGAGGAAGCUUCGGCUAACUACGUGCCAGCAGCCGCGGUAAUACGUAGGGAGCGAGCGUUAUCCGGAUUUACUGGGUGUAAAGGGCGUGUAGGCGGGAAAGCAAGUCAGAUGUGAAAACCAUGGGCUCAACCUGUGGCCUGCAUUUGAAACUGUUUUUCUUGAGUACUGGAGAGGCAGACGGAAUUCCUAGUGUAGCGGUGAAAUGCGUAGAUAUUAGGAGGAACACCAGUGGCGAAGGCGGCCUGCUGGGCUUUUACUGACGCUGAGGCUCGAAAGUGUGGGGAGCAAACAGGAUUAGAUACCCCCGUAU
RNAcentral lists this ribosomal RNA (445 nucleotides) under uncultured bacterium. RNAcentral describes it as "bacterial SSU rRNA". It matches the Rfam family "Bacterial small subunit ribosomal RNA", at positions 331 to 793 of the family's 1533-position model. The record is from RNAcentral.